Molecule: long non-coding RNA, 355 nt
Filed under: Fukomys damarensis (Damara mole-rat)
Lineage: Eukaryota; Metazoa; Chordata; Mammalia; Rodentia; Bathyergidae
Description: lncRNA (ENSFDAG00000027573.1)
Source: RNAcentral
UGAGUUACAUUGAUAUCCCCCGUCAGGGGCCUGUUUUGUUUCCUCUCAGGAGUAUGAUGGAGGUGGCAGGUAAGUGAGUAACUGGAGAACUGAAGGACCUAGGAAGAAGAUUUUCUUUGGCUGCCUAUUUAGCAACUUGAUCUGCCAAGUGAUUACCUCUGGGGACCUCACCAGCUCCUUUUUGAUGUCCCCAUUCUGUUUGGAGAGAUUUACUGUCGCAAGCACCAGCUAUCCGUCCUGAGCACAGCGGCGUGUGUGUGAUGAGAAAACGACUGAAGAGCUAUCUUCAAACAGAAGGUGUUUCAGCAAGACGGAGAAUUGACAAUUCCUAUAACAAACUGAGUAACCGAAGAGG